Molecule: ribosomal RNA, 275 nt
Filed under: uncultured bacterium
Lineage: Bacteria
Description: partial 16S ribosomal RNA
Rfam family: Bacterial small subunit ribosomal RNA
Source: RNAcentral
AUACGGAGGGUGCAAGCGUUAUCCGGAAUCAUUGGGUUUAAAGGGUCCGUAGGCGGACUAAUAAGUCAGGGGUGAAAUCCCACAGCUUAACUGUGGAACUGCCUUUGAUACUGUUAGUCUUGAGUUAUAUGGAAGUAGAUAGAAUGUGUAGUGUAGCGGUGAAAUGCUUAGAGAUUACACAGAAUACCGAUUGCGAAGGCAGUCUACUACAUAUAUACUGACGCUAAUGGACGAAAGCGUGGGGAGCGAACAGGAUUAGAAACCCUAGUAGUCCC